This 2951-nucleotide unclassified non-coding RNA is filed under the name Monomorium pharaonis (pharaoh ant). RNAcentral's name for it is "transcription factor collier, transcript variant X3". Lineage: Eukaryota; Metazoa; Arthropoda; Insecta; Hymenoptera; Formicidae. The record is from RNAcentral.
CUGCUGGCACGCCGCUAGUGCCGGCCCUGACACAUUCGACAAGCGACACCGUAACGGGAAGCAACGUGCAACUGGGGACCUCGAAGGACCUCUCCGCUGGUCACGAGACACACGUUUGCAACGUUUUGGCAGCGACGAUAAUUCGCGCCAGGGUGCCGGCCGGCAAGUGCUCAGAUUACCAUCGCACAUUACGUUCGUGUCUCAAAUAUCAUCGUCUGAUACAGGGAUCGUAGAAAACGAUUUCGAGGAAGGGCACCUUUGGGAAAGCAUCCAAGAGGCAGCCGAUGACAUCCCUUACGAGAUCAACGAACGUAGGCGGCGUCGUACAUCAGUGAUACAUCAGUGAUAAAGAUCCGCGACGCGGACCGUCAGAGGACAAGAGACACAAUUUUGCGCGAGCGAGUGAGAACAGUGGAUUGUGAGACGCCAACGUGGGUACCUUAGUGCGCGCUCGUACCGCGAACUCGUGGCACGCAUACGUUCGGACGCAUGUGCACCGGCACGCGGUCGGUGCGCCCGGCUUGACGGUGCAGCCCGGAAAGACGCGACACCGUCAGUGGUGAGCGGACGUUCAUGCACCGCCACGGGCUGCCGGCCGCCAACGUUUCAGUGAUAAUGAUUCAUGCGCGCUCCUAAAGAAACGUGGCAACGGGCGUACCCGCUCUGACGGAGAGACAGCCGGUCGAGUCUCCCGCGGAGACGCCAAGGGGUGACCGAGGGGGCGACGAAGGUUUCUGCAAAGAUUGGCAACGCGAAGGAGGAAGCCUGUUGCCCCAAGAGAGUCCGUACGGCCUCACCACGCGGUCCGACGAGUGGAGCAGUCUCCUGCCCAGCUCCACAAUCGUGGGUGCUGGGGGGUCGCCAUGGCUCGGACUCGGAGGGGGUGGCACCGGGGCUACCACGGGGGGCGGAAGUCCUGUCGAGCUCGAGGGUCACUGGGGACGUAAGCUGUACAGCGCGAGUGUGGCACCGCCACCCCCGCCGCCUCAUCAUCAUCCGCGAGCGCCGUUGGUUUUCGCGCCUCAAGAUAUGAGGCAGAUACUCAAGGAGGAACCUGUGCCACGUGCUUGGCCGCAGCCCGCGCUCGCCGAUAACGGGACGGUUGGCGUGGGUCGGGCGCAUUUCGAGAAACAACCGCCGAGUAAUCUGAGAAAGAGCAAUUUUUUCCAUUUCGUAAUCGCCCUUUACGAUCGACAUGGCCAACCGAUCGAGAUUGAGAGGACGUCGUUCAUGGGCUUCGUCGAGAAGGAUCAGGAGUCUGAGGGCCAAAAAACAAACAAUGGUAUUCAGUACAGUCUACAUCUACUUUAUUCCAAUGGUGUCAGGCAAGUGCAGGAUAUCUACGUUAGGCUUAUAGACUCCGCAACAAAACAAGCAAUCAUGUACGAGGGGCAAGAUAAGAAUCCGGAAAUGUGCCGUGUUCUGUUGACGCAUGAAGUCAUGUGCAGCCGAUGCUGCGAUAAGAAGAGCUGCGGCAACAGGAACGAAACGCCCAGCGAUCCUGUCAUCAUCGACCGAUUCUUCCUAAAGUUCUUUCUCAAGUGUAACCAAAACUGCCUCAAGAACGCCGGCAAUCCACGAGACAUGAGGCGCUUCCAGGUGGUCAUAUCUACGCAAGUGGGAGUGGAAGGACCAUUACUAGCGGUCUCAGACAAUAUGUUCGUCCACAACAACAGCAAGCACGGACGCAGGGCGAAACGUUUGGACCCCAGUGAUCCUGGCGAGUACAAUAGUUUAUAUCCGCCAAUACCUCUCCAAACGCCGUGCAUAAAAGCGAUAUCGCCUAACGAAGGCUGGACGUCGGGUGGAUCCACCGUCAUAAUUAUCGGUGAAAAUUUCUUCGAUGGAUUGCAAGUAGUUUUCGGUUCGAUGCUAGUUUGGAGCGAGUUUAUCACACCCCACGCAAUCAAGGUGCAGGCACCGGCGCGGCAAAUACCAGGAGUCGUCGACGUCACAUUACAUUACAAAAGCAAGCAGUUCUGUAAAGGAGCGCCCGGUAGAUUUGUUUACGUUUCGGUAAACGAACCUACGAUCGACUACGGCUUCCAAAGGUUACAGAAACUCGUUCCGCGGCACCCCGGUGACCCCGAAAAGCUUCCGAAGGAGAUAGUGCUGAAGAGGGCGGCGGAUCUAGCGGAAGCCAUUUAUAGUAUGCCCAAGAGUGGAAACAUGGGGAUCGCGGGGGCACCACGAAGUCCGGGUUCAGUGCACGCACCCGCACCUCCCACAUCCAGUUCGGCAACGGCCUUUAAUUCGUAUACGGGGCAACUUGCGGUGACAGUGCAGGAAAAUGGUAGUGCGGCAAAAUGGACAGACGACGGUAGUUCCGUGACGACAGGGGCUGCUGCCGACGGCGGAGGCGGCGGCGGCGGCGGUGGUGGCGGCGGUGGUAGUGGCGGCAGUGGUGGUAGUGUCGGAGCUAACGUCGGCGGUAGCGCCGACGCCUAUAGACAAAGCAGCAGUGCAAGUCCACGUGGUGUCGUAACCGGCGGUGGUUAUUGCGGUAGUUCAGCCAGCACACCACACAGUCACAGUACUAACGGAAGUUAUUCCGUCGCCAAUCCGUACACCGGCAGCCCUACUCUCUAUACCUCGCCGCACGAACAAUAUGGCAUUUUCUAUACAUCCGGGGACGGGAGUGCGUUCGCCCCCGUAGUACGACCACCGACCACCUCAGUCCCACCGCACUGGCCCACACAGCACCACCUCGCCACAGCCGCCCAGUAACCGCUAACCGUCCACCAUCACCACCAACACCACCAUCAUCACAACCACCCUAUGCACUGCGAUUAAAGAAUUAUGAGAGACGGCAUUUGAGAAUGACUAGGAGAGGUGGUCGGAUCACCAUUCAACAUGAACCCAUUUAUGUUGCCCACUUGCAACCAAGGAUACUCAGCCGCUGCCAGUCCGCUGCUUUCAUCAAACGGCAAAUAGUGCUACGAGAUGUAAGC